This 402-nucleotide ribosomal RNA is filed under the name uncultured bacterium. RNAcentral describes it as "bacterial SSU rRNA". It matches the Rfam family "Bacterial small subunit ribosomal RNA", at positions 355 to 750 of the family's 1533-position model. The record is from RNAcentral.
UGGGGAAUUUUGGACAAUGGGGGCAACCCUGAUCCAGCCAUGCCGCGUGAGUGAAGAAGGCCUUCGGGUUGUAAAGCUCUUUCGGCCGGGAAGAAAUCGCGCCAGCUAAUACCUGGUGUGGAUGACGGUACCGGAAGAAGAAGCGCCGGCUAACUACGUGCCAGCAGCCGCGGUAAUACGUAGGGUGCGAGCGUUAAUCGGAAUUACUGGGCGUAAAGCGUGCGCAGGCGGCUCUAUAAGACAGAUGUGAAAUCCCCGGGCUUAACCUGGGAACUGCGUUUGUGACUGUAGGGCUUGAGUGCGGCAGAGGGGGUGGAAUUCCACGUGUAGCAGUGAAAUGCGUAGAGAUGUGGAGGAACACCGAUGGCGAAGGCAGCCCCCUGGGUCGACACUGACGCUCAU